ACGAUUAAUUGCACAGCCCUAGUUCUUUCUAUAUUUAUAGACCACAUGAAGGAAUGUCAGAACAGCAAGCUGCUCAUCCUGAUGAGAUGACCACUGAUUCCACCCUGCCACUGACCACUGUGCCUGUUUGUUCUGGCCCAGAACCACUGCAAGGAACGUCAGACCAGCCUGCUGCAUCUCAUCCUGAUUGCACCACAGAUUCCACCCAUACACUCUUCUCAGAUGCAGCAAAGACAGACGAUCCACUACCAACCGAUCCUGCUGACUGCCCUUCACAUCUCACAGACACAAUGAGGACAGAGUUUGUUCAGAGAGGACCAUAUCAGAUAACACCUGAUUUCAUUUUCCCAAGGAGAGAUGAUGGGAGAAGUUGCCACCACCAGUACUUCAGCAGGACCUUAGUAAAUGGAGAAAGGAUCAAAAGAAGUUGGGUGACAUAUUCAAAAAAGAAGAACAGUCUUUUUUGUUUUUGUUGUCAACUUUUCUCUCCAAAACAAAUUCAUUUAACAAAUGCAGGACUGUCGGAUUGGAAAAAUGCAAGUGCUGCUUUGACCAGCCAUGAAAAUAGUCCGGAACACCUGAACAAUUUGGCGUCAUGGAAAGAAUUGGCAGUUCGAUUAAAACAAAGUACAACAAUAGACAAACAAGAGCAGGCCCUCCUUGAGGCAGAGAAGAGUCGGUGGAGAGCAGUGUUGACACGACUGGUUGCUAUUGUAGUCUCUGGCAGGGCGAAAUAUGGCAUUGAGAGGAAAGACAGAAAUACUCCACUCUCCUUCAAAUGGAAACUUUUUGAAAGAGGUUGAGCUUUUGGCGCAGUUUGACCCAGUGAUGAAAGACCACACUAACAAGAUUAAAAGUCAA
Molecule: long non-coding RNA, 861 nt
Organism: Gymnodraco acuticeps
Lineage: Eukaryota; Metazoa; Chordata; Actinopteri; Perciformes; Bathydraconidae
Exons: 3
Source: RefSeq, a predicted model, not a curated record